Molecule: long non-coding RNA, 1129 nt
Filed under: Amborella trichopoda
Lineage: Eukaryota; Viridiplantae; Streptophyta; Magnoliopsida; Amborellales; Amborellaceae
Description: long non-coding RNA (ATRI_LNC002382)
Source: RNAcentral
UCCACUUUAACCCUCUCUACUUUAACCCUCUCCACUUUAACCCUCUCCACUUUAACCCUCUCUAGAGCUGCAGGCACCCUCUCUUCUUUAACCCUCACCCUCUCCACUUUAACCCUCUCUAGAGCUGCAGGCUCCAUCCCCGCAUCGAGCUUGCGGGCGUUCCCUGGCAGCGCAUUUGUUCCCUUCUUGUUGAUCCUUGCGUCCAAUUUCUUCACAGAUGGGACCUGAGCACCUGCUCUCAUGGCUGCGUUCACUGCCUUAGGGUCUUUGAGCUCACUCACCUUUUGCUUGGUUUUGCGAAUGAUUACUCGUUCCCGGUCUUGGGUAAUCAUACCUGGGUGCCUGUUAGGCAUGGUGCCUGCUGGAGAUUGGCCGGAAACUCAAGGAUUCGCCUGAAGUUGGCCAGAAAUUCCCAGGUCUUGCCAGGAAAUGUACUGUAAUUAGGUAUCCGCCAGGAAUCAAACGGAUUAAGUGCGAUUUCACUAAAAUCAGACCAGAAAGAGAAAGAAGGCUGAGAUUUUGGCAGGAAAAGUAUAAAAAAAUCGUCUGAAAAUCAAGAUAAACGACCAAAGAGUCCAAUAAAACAAACUAAUUACAGAUCUUACUUAGAAGCUUAGACAACCUUUUUUUUUAACAGUACCUAGAAUCUUAGACAAUCGUCAGAGAAAAUAAACCUUGAUCAAAUAUCGAAGGCUUGACGGUGGCCUGUAAUGUAAAAAUGGCCAGGAAAAUCAAGGAACUAUGCCGCAAACUUCGAGAGAUACGGCCGCAAAUGGAAACUAUCACCUGGAAAGUAAGGAACCCUGAGAGAAACAGCGCCAGAAAAUUGGAGAUAAUGGACAGUAAAACGAGAAAACACGCUGAGAAAGAGCGAACUUGCGCCGGAAAUCUGAGAAAAACACCGGAAAAUUGAGAAUUCGUCGGAAAGCGAAGAGUCUUGGUCGGAAAAUGGAAAAGCGAGGAGCUAACUGGAAAAAAACGAGGUAAAACAAAUCGGAAAACAAGGAAACGUAAAUGAGAAUGCAGAGAGAGAAAAUAGAACUGACCAGGUAAUCCGAGAAAGGCAAUGCGAGCGAGCGAGCGAGAGAGAGAGAGCGAUAUUUAUAGAGGGAAGAAGGCCUCUCUGGGA